GCGAGAGUGGCGAAAUUGGUAUACGCACUAGACUUAGGAUCUAGCGUCUUUGUACAUGUGGGUUCGAGUCCCACCUUUCGCACCA
RNAcentral lists this transfer RNA (85 nucleotides) under Leptotrichia sp. Its description in RNAcentral is "tRNA-Leu". It matches the Rfam family "tRNA". Rfam says of the family: Transfer RNA (tRNA) molecules are approximately 80 nucleotides in length. Their secondary structure includes four short double-helical elements and three loops (D, anti-codon, and T loops). RNAcentral also lists the same sequence under 2 other names. The record is from RNAcentral. Lineage: Bacteria; Fusobacteriati; Fusobacteriota; Fusobacteriia; Fusobacteriales; Leptotrichiaceae.